Molecule: ribosomal RNA, 253 nt
Filed under: uncultured bacterium
Lineage: Bacteria
Description: partial 16S ribosomal RNA
Rfam family: Bacterial small subunit ribosomal RNA
Source: RNAcentral
GACAGAGGUGCCAAGCGUUAGGCGGAAUCACUGGGCUUAAAGCGUGUGUAGGCGGAUUGGUAAGUACCUUGUGAAAUCCCAUAGCUCAACUAUGGAACUGCUUGGUAUACUGCCUGUCUUGAGCUACUUAGGGGCAACCGGAACAAAUGGUGGAGCGGUGAAAUGCGUAGAUAUCAGGAGGAACACCGGUGGCGAAGGCGGGUCUCUGGGCCGAUACUGACGCUGAGGAGCGAAAGCGUGGGGAGCGAACAGG